ACCUACAGCCAUGCCACUCCAAAUAUGCCUGAUCUCGUCUGAUCUCGGCAGCUAAGCAGGGUCAGGCCUGGUUAGUAUUUGGAUGGGAGACCACCUAGGAAUACCGGGAGCUGUAGGUG
This 119-nucleotide ribosomal RNA is filed under the name Pteropus alecto (black flying fox). Lineage: Eukaryota; Metazoa; Chordata; Mammalia; Chiroptera; Pteropodidae. The record is from RNAcentral.